Molecule: non-coding RNA, 821 nt
Organism: Microcebus murinus (gray mouse lemur)
Lineage: Eukaryota; Metazoa; Chordata; Mammalia; Primates; Cheirogaleidae
Source: RefSeq, a predicted model, not a curated record
AUUCCCUGAGCUCUUCCAUGUCCUUUCAGUAGGUUUCAUCCCCCCAGCCCCAGGUUAGCUGGAAUCUGUUUCUGUUGGUCUCAACCAAGUGCAAACACAAGCAUGUUUUGAGCAGCAGGUGGAUGUGAUGGUGCUCAAGAUCGGUGGCCUAGGGCAGGGGUCCCCAACCUAUGAUCUGUGACUUGGCGUAGUUCACUUGCUACUUCCUGUGACAUCCUCUCCAGGUAAAGAAGCCAUGUCUUCUAGAACCAGCUACAUUAUCUGAGAGGCCCACUGCAAAAUGAACACUCUGGCCCCCUGCUAAAACAUUAUUAAGAAUCUCAAGACAGUGACAGAAGAGCACAAACCUGGGGUCAGCGUGGCCAGUUUGUUUAAUUUCCAUUGAUACACCUUCAGCUUCACCGAUUUUUUCUCCAGCUGUGUCAAGUCUACAGAUGAGUCAGCCACUGGUUUUCAGCAGCAAGAACCAGCUCUCCAGACAUGGAACGAGGUUGUAGCUGGAAGGACUGGUCAUAAGAAAGAACUUCCUCUGGCGGAGGAUGUGACAUCCCAGAAGAGAAGACUGAGGGAAUCUGAUCAGCUCAUGAGGAGGCUGGUUCCUGCUUAAAUGUCAACUGCUGUGGCAGGCCUUUCCUAGAAGUCUAACUUACAGCACCUCCUCCUUAAUUUCAUACAGUCCUGUUUCCAUCAUGAGGACCUGGUAUCUUCUUGUUUAUUUAUUGCUCAUUGACUAUUUCCCUUUUCUCAAAUGUAAGCCCCAGCCAGGAUUUGGAGCAGGUUUCUUCUGUUCCCAGUUGUAUUCCCUUGCCUGGCAAAUAAUA